Anas platyrhynchos (mallard) is the source of this 362-nucleotide non-coding RNA. The record is from RefSeq and is a predicted model, not a curated record. NCBI's taxonomy places the organism in Eukaryota, Metazoa, Chordata, Aves, Anseriformes, Anatidae.
GUGUAACCCUGAUGCUUUGCCCUGUCAAACAAGGAUGAGGUAUGAACUUGUAUUAAAUGAGUGACAUGCACCAAGAGGAUGAGACCUCUCCGUGGCUAGAAUCAUUGUUGGUACUCAGCAUAUCCUAAGAUACAGAUGUCUCCAAGGACUGUGAAUACACUACAAGGAACAGAGAGCUGCCUGUUUCUCUGGCAGGACCCAAUUCUCCUCUGUCAAGAAAUAUGAAAGUAACAGAGAAACUGUUGACAGCUCCGUGAUUUCUUACUUGGCUGGAGACUGACCAUGACACAGAACAGGCCAACCUCAAGACUUCUUUAAAGCUGUUUACCCAAAAUUUGCAUUAAAAACAUUUGAUGGUGUUA